GCCCAGGUGGCGGAAUUGGUAGACGCGCACGGUUCAGGUCCGUGUGCCGCAAGGCGUGGAGGUUCGAGUCCUCUCCUGGGCACCA
Molecule: transfer RNA, 85 nt
Filed under: Paracoccus denitrificans
Lineage: Bacteria; Pseudomonadati; Pseudomonadota; Alphaproteobacteria; Rhodobacterales; Paracoccaceae
Also listed under: 185 other names
Description: tRNA_Leu_CAG
Rfam family: tRNA
About the family: Transfer RNA (tRNA) molecules are approximately 80 nucleotides in length.
Source: RNAcentral